CCGAAUGUCUAAUGAGCUGUAUAAAUUAUUGUUUAGAACCUAUAGACUUAUGUUUCAAUAUAAGCUAAAAAUAAUUAUACAGAGGCUACAUACCAUCCGUAUAGAUAUAUAUCUGAUUUCUAUUAAUUUUAUUUAAUAAAGCAUCUAUAAUAGAAUUUUAAGUUAUAGAUUAUAAGGUCUAUAAAAUAAUCUAUUUAAAUUAUUUUAAAAUAAGUAGGCUUAAAAACAGCCAACCAUCAAUACUUCAUCGUAGUAAAAUUUUAAGAUAUAUAACAACUAAAUGAAUUUAUAUAAUAGAAUAAUUACUAAAUUGAUAGUAAUAAUUAUAAUGUAUACAUUAGUAUUUUAUUAAACUAAAUAAAGGAACUCGGCAAAUAUAAUAUUCGACUGUUUAACAAAAACAUUUCCUAUAGAUAAUAUAUUAUAGGUAUUUCCCUGCCCUAUGAAAUCUUAAAUGGCUGCAGUAUACUAACUGUACAAAGGUAGCAUAAUAAUUAGCCUAUUAAUAGUAGGAUAGAAUGAAAGGGAGUACGAAAUAUUAGCUGUCUCUAUUUUCUAAAAAUAACCUAUCUUUAAAGUGAAGAGACUUUAAUAUAAAUAAAAGACAAGAAGACCCUAUAGAGCUUUAUAAAUUAUGUAAAAUCAUUACACUUAUAUUCGAUUGGGGCGAUCUAGGUAACCAUAAAACAACCUAUAUAACAAAAGACACAUAAUUCCUUUUUUGAUCUAAACUAACCAAAAAAUUAAGCUACCUUAGGGAUAACAGGCUAAAAUUUCUAAAGAGUUCAUAUCGACAGAAAUACUUGGCACCUCGAUGUUGGCUUAAGAUACCUAAAUGACGCAGUAGUUGUUUAAGGUGGUAGGUUUGACCAUUAAAUUCUUACAUGAGCUGAGUUCAGACCGGCGUAAGCCAGGUUAGAUUCUAUCUUUAUUUAACACUAUUCACUUUGCCUCUAGUACGAAAGGACCUAGGUAA
RNAcentral lists this ribosomal RNA (976 nucleotides) under Barbronia yunnanensis. RNAcentral describes it as "16S ribosomal RNA". The stretch from base 573 to 976 matches the Rfam family "Bacterial large subunit ribosomal RNA", at positions 2048 to 2700 of the family's 2925-position model. Lineage: Eukaryota; Metazoa; Annelida; Clitellata; Hirudinida; Salifidae. The record is from RNAcentral.